Molecule: ribosomal RNA, 301 nt
Filed under: uncultured bacterium
Lineage: Bacteria
Description: partial 16S ribosomal RNA
Rfam family: Bacterial small subunit ribosomal RNA
Source: RNAcentral
CAGUAGCCACGGUAAUACGUAGGGUGCAAGCGUUAAUCGGAAUUACUGGGCGUAAAGCGUGCGCAGGCGGUCUGACAAGUCAGAUGUGAAAUCCCCGGGCUUAACCUGGGAACUGCAUUUGAAACUGUCAGGCUGGAGUCUUGUAGAGGGGGGUAGAAUUCCAGGUGUAGCGGUGAAAUGCGUAGAGAUCUGGAGGAAUACCGGUGGCGAAGGCGGCCCCCUGGACAAAGACUGACGCUCAGGUGCGAAAGCGUGGGGAGCAAACAGGAUUAGAUACCCCGGUAGUCCCUGUCUCUUAUAC